AGUGAACGCUGGCGGUAGGCCUAACACAUGCAAGUCGAACGGCAGCACAGUAAGAGCUUGCUCUUACGGGUGGCGAGUGGCGGACGGGUGAGGAAUACAUCGGAAUCUACUUUUUCGUAGGGGAUAACGUAGGGAAACUUACGCUAAUACCGCAUACGACCUACGGGUGAAAGCAGGGGAUCUUCGGACCUUGCGCGAUUGAAUGAGCCGAUGUCGGAUUAGCUAGUUGGCGGGGUAAAGGCCCACCAAGGCGACGAUCCGUAGCUGGUCUGAGAGGAUGAUCAGCCACACUGGAACUGAGACACGGUACAGACUCCUACGGGAGGCAGCAGUGGGGAAUAUUGGACAAUGGGCGCAAGCCUGAUCCAGCCAUACCGCGUGGGUGAAGAAGGCCUUCGGGUUGUAAAGCCCUUUUGUUGGGAAAGAAAAGCAGCAGGUUAAUACCCCGCUGUUCUGACGGUACCAAAAGAAUAAGCACCGGCUAACUUCGUG
Molecule: ribosomal RNA, 492 nt
Filed under: uncultured bacterium
Lineage: Bacteria
Description: partial 16S ribosomal RNA
Rfam family: Bacterial small subunit ribosomal RNA
Source: RNAcentral